AGAAGUCAUAUGCUUGUCUCAAAGAUUAAGCCAUGCAUGUGUAAGUAUGAAAUAUUUCAGACUGUGAAACUGUGAAUGGCUCAUUAAAUCAAUUAUAGUUUGUUUGAUGAUACGUGCUACUCGGAUAACCGUAGUAAUUCUAGAGCUAAUACAUGCAACAAACCCCGACUUCUGGAAGGGAUGCAUUUAUUAGAUAACAGGCUGAAGCGGGCUUUGCCCGCUGCUCCGAUGAUUCAUGAUAACUCGACGGAUCACACGGCCCUCGUGCCAGCGACGCAUCAUUCAAAUUUCUGCCCUAUCAACUUUCGAUGGUAGGAUAGGGGCCUACCAUGGUGGUGACGGGUGAUGGAGAAUUAGGGUUCAAUUCUGGAGAGGGAGCCUGACAAACGGCUACCACAUCCAAGGAAGGCAGCAGGCGCGCAAAUUACCAAAUCCUGACAUGGGGAGGUAGUGACAAUAAAUAACAAUACCGGGCUCUUCGAGUCUGGUAAUUAGAAUGAGUACAAUCUAAAUCCCUUAAUGAGGAUCCAUUGGAGGGCAAGUCUGGUGCCAGUAGCCGUGGUAAUUCCAUCUCUAAUAGUGUAUAUUUAAGUUGUUGCCGUUAAAAAGCUCGUAGCUGGACUUUGGGACGGGUCGGUCGGUCCGCCUCGCAAUGUGCACCGGUUGUCCCAUCCCUUCUAUCGGCGAUGUGUGCCUUGCCUUAACUGACCGGGUUGUGCCUCCAGCGCUGUUACUUUGAAGAAAUUAGAGUGCUUAAAGCAAGCCCACGCUCUAGAAACAUUAGCAUGGGAUAACAUCAUAGGAUUUCGGUCCUAUUAUGUUGGCCUUCGGGAUCAGAGUAAUGAUUAAGAGGAAGAGUCGGGGGCAUUCGUAUUUCAUAGUCAGAGGUGAAAUUCUUGGAUUUAUGAAAGACGAACCACUGCGAAAGCAUUUGCCAAGGAUGUUUUCAUUAAUCAAGAACGAAAGUUUGGGGCUCGAAGAUGAUCAGAUACCGUCCUAGUCUCAACCAUAAACAAUGCCGACCAGGGAUCAGCGGAUGUUGCUCUUGAACUCCACUGGAACCUUAUGAGAAAUCAAAGUCUUUGGGUUCAGGGGAGUAUGGUCACAAAUUUGAAACUUAAAGGAAUUGACGAAAGGGCACCACGAGGGAGUGGAGCCUGCGGCUUUAUUUGACUCAACACGGGAAACUUACCAAGUCCGGACAUAGCAAGGAUUGAUGGUGACCGAGAGCUCUUUCUUGAUUCUAUGGGUGGUGGUGCAUGGGCGUCCAUAGUUGGUGGAGUGAUUUGACUGGUUAAUUCCGAUAGCGAAUGAGACCUCGACCUACUAACUAGCUUCUGCGGAGGCAUCCCUCCUUUGCCGACUUCUUUGAGGGACUAUGGUCAUUUAGGCCACAGAAGUUUGAGGCAAUAACAGGUCUGUGAUGCCCUUAGAUGUUCAGGCCGCCGCACGCUUCACCUGAUGUAUUCAACGAGUCUAUAGCCUUGGCCCGUGCGGCCGGGUAAUCUUUAAAAAUUUCAUCGUGAUGGGGACAGAUCAUUGCAAUUGUUGGUCUUCAACGAGGAAUUCCUAGUAAGCGCGAGUAAUCAGCUCACGUUGACUACGUCCCUGCCCUUUUUACACACAGCUUGUCACUCCUACUGAUUCAAUGGUUGGUGAAGUGUUGGAUCGAGGCCAUGGGGGCGGUUCCGCCAUGACGUCGCGAGAAGUCCACCUGAACCUUAUCAUUUAGAAGAAGGAGAAGUCGUAACAAAAGGUUUCCGUGGGUGAACCCUACGGUG
Molecule: ribosomal RNA, 1781 nt
Filed under: Musa schizocarpa
Lineage: Eukaryota; Viridiplantae; Streptophyta; Magnoliopsida; Zingiberales; Musaceae
Description: SSU rRNA
Rfam family: Eukaryotic small subunit ribosomal RNA
Source: RNAcentral